CCUACGGGAGGCUGCAGUGAGGAAUAUUGGUCAAUGGGCGGAAGCCUGAACCAGCCAAGUAGCGUGCAGGAUGACGGCCCUACGGGUUGUAAACUGCUUUUAUACGGGAAUAACGCGCCUUACGUGUACGGCUUUGCAUGUACCGUAUGAAUAAGGACCGGCUAAUUCCGUGCCAGCAGCCGCGGUAAUACGGAAGGUCCGGGCGUUAUCCGGAUUUAUUGGGUUUAAAGGGAGCGUAGGCCGCCUGUCAAGCCUGCUGUGAAAGUCCCGGGCUCAACCCGGGCCUUGCAGCGCGAACUGGCGUGCUUGAGUCCGCGGAAAGCAGGCGGAAUUCGUCGUGUAGCGGUGAAAUGCUUAGAUAUGGCGAAGAACCCCGAUUGCGAAGGCAGCUUGCUGCAGCGGAACUGACGCUGAUGCUCGAAAGCGCGGGUAUCGAACAGGAUUAGAUACCCUUGUAGUC
This 460-nucleotide ribosomal RNA is filed under the name uncultured bacterium. RNAcentral's name for it is "partial 16S ribosomal RNA". It matches the Rfam family "Bacterial small subunit ribosomal RNA", at positions 338 to 795 of the family's 1533-position model. The record is from RNAcentral.